Molecule: long non-coding RNA, 2603 nt
Filed under: Fukomys damarensis (Damara mole-rat)
Lineage: Eukaryota; Metazoa; Chordata; Mammalia; Rodentia; Bathyergidae
Description: lncRNA (ENSFDAG00000027249.1)
Source: RNAcentral
AUGAGACGAGAGGGGCUUCCUGAGUGGGGCGCGGUCCCGACAGCCCUGGUGCUCUGUGUGCGGACACCGGGCGUGCUCGGGCCACUCACCCGGUGAUCUGCUGAGAAGGGCGUCACCACGCUGCUGAGACCAAGAUCUCUACAAAAUAACCAGAUCAAUGUUUUGAGGUUGCAUAGUAAAGUGAAGGCAAGGACCAGGCAGUGCUGCUUGUCUGUUAAUGUGUGUUCAGUUCUGAGAUGGUGAGGGGCUGCAGGGCCCUUGAGCGCAUCCAUGCAGGUGCCCGGGGUUCACAGAUAUUUCCAAAGCCAGAGUGGAAUGUUCUGCCCCUCAAUGUGUUGACACUAUUAUUGAAGAGAAGUAGUAGAGCCAGGCACUCAGCUCCAAACGGCUUCUGUGGCUCCCCAAGCACCUCCCCUCCAGACUCAACCUCGAUGGUCUCCCUGCAGCAGCAGCUUCCUGUUGUGAAGGCCCAGGCUCGAAGGGCAGUGGCUUCUACCACAGAGCUCCCCGGGGAAGUGCGUACUCUGGACAGCAGGGGGCAGUGUUCAUCUGCAGAUAACAGGAGCCGGCCAGAGAGGGGGAGCAGAGCCCCAGAGCCUUCCAAACACAGAUUUCCUGGGGCUCAGAUUCGUGGUUUGGACCGCGACGCGGUACGAUGGAUGAAUUUCCAAAGACUCUGGUGGCUCCGGACUGAGCACAGCGAGGCUGCAAUCUGCAGGAGAGCGAAUCUGCUGCCUUCCAGAGCUGCUGUGCUUCGGCGCAGGUUCGUUACCGCAGGCGCCCAGGAGGGAAGAGCACAGCCUGAAGACAGCGCUCUCCUCUGUGUCACUGUCACAGGAGCAACAAAGUGCAGCAGGAAACCAAGUGUCCACAGGGCUCGGAGACCGGAGAGAGAAGCACCCAGUGAGGUUCUGCUGAUGUGCGCAAACUGGAGGCCGAGGCAGCUUGGGAGACCCGGCCGGCCAUGUCCACUGGAGCUCACGGCCGGCCUGUGCCUGUGUCCACCGCGACAGCAGCACCUGCAGACGGGAGUGGCCAGCACUGGAACUUGGAGCAAAGCAUAGAUGUCCCCAACCUGCAGUGCAACUCUUACGAAAGUGACUUUUAAAUUUCUUCCUUUCUCGGUUACUUUUGGUUGUUAAUAACUCUAAAGGAAACAUGUAUACUUUUAUUUAUUCUUUUCUCAAUUUUAACCUUUGCUCUUUUUUUUUUUUUUUCUUUUUCAGGUCUGAGAAAGAUCAGCACUUUAGCUGCAGCUGUGCUAUUUCGGCCACUUCUUCCAAUUCGGGCUUGGUUUCAGCCUGGAAAUAAAACAGGUGUGAACUCAGCGUCACCCCCUUAGUCCCUGGACCUGUACUCACUCAGGACCGUGCUUGAGUACAUUUCCCUAGGGCCAACUAGUCCGACUAUGGUACUACUGUAAGCCAGGCAUGACAUUUAGAUUAUUAUUAAUAUCUACAAUCUUACUUGCAAAUACAGGUAAGCCUUUUAGGGAUAACUGUUAGUGAUGGAAGCAUUUCCUUAUUGAAAGUCUAACAAUAAAUAUACAACAAUUAUUCCAAAAGUCAGUGGCACAUCAAUGAUUAAUGGUAAUUGUAAGAACCUCGAUUUAAUGGAUUAAUAACAGUUAUUAAGAAGAUCCAAAUAAUUGCACCAACAGGACAGUGGAUUGAGAAUUGGUUUUCCCGGCUUCCUUUCCCUGUACUGUGCCUUGGAAACCGUCCACACUGUCCCCCGGGCCAAUGAGGCUUCACCUUGCUGGUCCCCUCCCCUCCAGGAUCAUUGCUGUUUGUUCUUUGAUGCCCAGUGUCUUUAAAAAGGUUUCAUAUGUUUGUCUGGUGCUUCAAUUGCUUCAAACAGAAGGAUAAAUAUGCUCCCUAUUAUUCUGUCUUGACUUGAAUUUCUACUUGAAGAAAAAUCUCUUAAGUCAAGUACGGUGACACUCAAGACAGAUUAACUCCAAGAUCCAGACUUAGGAAGAAUCAAAACAAGUGUGGGAGGAAGAAGAAAAGCACAUGUAAGCUUGUUAUACUACAAAACUACGUUAGAGAGUGCUUUAAUGAAUGCCCAGAAUUCCGAACCUUGGAGACUGGUGCAGGUUGAGUUGUAUCCUCUGCAGAAAACCCACCGGGCCUCAGACCUGGCUUGGAACAGUAGUGUCCUUGCAGAUGUGUUAGCUGAGAGUAUAGCGCUGGAGGGCCGGCUUUUCCUAUACCUGUGUCCUAGGAAGAUGGUGCUUGGAGAGCCAGAGAGUGGGGAACCCAGGAACACCGAGGAUGGCAGCCCCCUGGGAGCACAGAGGAGACAAGGAGGGUCCUCCCAACAGCCUGGCUCCGACUUCCAGCCCCCAGAGCAGUGAGACAACAAGGCUGGGAACUUGUGAACCCCUCAUUUAGCAGCUGCAUCAGGGCAGCUGGGAGCCUAAUGCAGAGAUGGUCAUUUUCAGUUUUCAAAAUGAUGGCCUUAAUUUCACAUGUAAAGAGCUGAACGUUUACCAGGUUGUUAUUCAGGGUGCCAAUUGAAGCAAGUGUCUCGUCCCCAGUGGUACAUUUACAGGAGCUGACAGUUCUGAAGGAUGAUUUGUCUAACCGUAUUAAAAUGCA